RNA transcript from Aegilops tauschii subsp. strangulata, 2293 nucleotides. RefSeq lists it as uncharacterized. Lineage: Eukaryota; Viridiplantae; Streptophyta; Magnoliopsida; Poales; Poaceae. The record is from RefSeq and is a predicted model, not a curated record.
UUUUCUUUUUUGAGCUUUUUUUAGGAGUAUUCCAUUUUUUGAGCAAAAAAUAUAAAAAUAAUCAACUCACGGCAGGCCUGUCAAAACUGCAGUCCAAUAGAGCCCACAAACAGCCGAAAGAAAUGCAUCCCAUUCACCUAAAAAAAAAAACGCUGCCCGCAACUGCAGUCCGUCGGAAAUCUCUGCCGCCGCCGCCACCGCCGUCUGCCGUCGCCGUCGCCUGCGCCAUGCUCCGCCUCAGGAAGUGCGUCGUUUCCUGUAUCCUCUCUUCUCCCUCCACCUCCGCCAUCUCCCCACUUCGCCGCCUGCUCUCCGCCGCCGCGUCGCCCCCCAUUUCCCCUAACCCUAGUAGCUUCGCCGUGGAAGACUACCUCGUCGGCACCUGCGGCCUCAGCCGACCCCAAGCCCUCAAGGCCUCCAAGAAGCUCUCCCACCUCAACUCCCCCGCAAACCCCGACGCCGUCCUCGCCUUCCUCGCCGGCCUCGGCCUCUCCGGCGCCGAUGCCGCCGCCGUCGUCGCCAAAGAUCCGCAGUUCCUCGGCGCCAAAGUGGACAAAACCCUGGCCCCCGUCGUCGCCGGGCUAACCGGCCUCGGCCUGUCUAGUCCUGAGAUCGCUCGCAUCGUCUCGCUCACCCCCGACGGCUUCCGCCGUAGAUCCAUACUCUCCAGGCUGCUCAAGCGCUCAUCCUGCCUGUUGUUUUCGGACCUCGACAAGGUUGUCAAGCCCAAUGUUGUGUUUCUGAGGGAGUGCGGGCUAGGUGAUUGUGAUAUUGCCAAGCUGUGUAUCCAUGGGCCGAGGAUGCUCACCACCAACCUGGAGCGCGUCCGAGCGAUGGUGACAUGCGCCGAAGGUAUAGGCGUGCCCCGUGGCUCUGCGAUGUUUAGAAAAGCGCUACAUGCUGUCGCAUUCCAAAGCAAGGAGAAGAUUGCCGCCAAAGUGGACUACUUGAAGAAUACAUUCAGGUGGUCUGAUGCCGAAGCGAGCAUUGCUGUGCGCAAGUAUCCGGGUCUGCUCAGGAAGUCAAAGGAAUCUCUGAAGCACAGGUCCGAGUUCUUGUUCUCUGAGGUGGGGCUGGAACCCGCGUACAUUGCUCAUCGACCGGAAAUACUUUCUUAUAGCAUGGAGGGCCGACUCAGACCUCGGUACUAUGUUAUCAAGUUUCUCAAGCAAAGUGGACUGCUAGAUCGUGACUUGAGCUUAUAUUCUGCGGUCAAGAUGACUGACAAGGUAUUUGUGGAGAAGCUCAUAUGCCCUCACAAGGAAGCCGCAGCACACCUCGCUGAAGAUUAUGCAGCAGCUUGCAAAGGGGAAGUGCCAACUAAUUUCAGAUUUACAUGAACAAAAAAGGUCUAUGGAAAUUGGUUACAGUGUAUGGCGCAACAAAGUUACCACCCUGCGUAAGCAGGGACCUAAAUGAUCAAAUCAAAGGAGAAAGAGGCUGAAACAAGGGGAGAAGAUCACAGCAACCACCAGGAGAAAAUAUAUCUCAGUUUUUCAGGACCCGCCUACCUGAAAAAGCUUGCUGAUGGGAUGCAAAGGCUAAAAUUGAUGUAGUAGGAGGGAUGCUGUACAUGUUUGGUUUUAGUGCGCCACCAGAAAAAGCUUGCUGAUGGGAUGCAAAGGCUAAGGUGGUCUGAUGCCGAAGCGAGCAUUGCUGUGCGCAAGUAUCCGGGUGUGCUGAGGAAGUCAAAGGAAUCCUGAAGCACAGGUCCGAGUUCCUGUUCUUCGAGGUGGGGCUGGAACCCGUGUACAUUUCUCAUCGACCGGACAUACUUUCUUAUAGCAUGAAGGGCCGACUCAGACCCCGGUACUAUGUUAUCAAGUUUCUCAAGCAAAAUGGACUGCUAGAUCAUGACUUGAGCUUAUAUUCUUCGAUCAAGAUGACUGAGAAGGUAUUUGUGGAGAAGCUCAUAUGCCCUCACAAGGAAGCUGCACCACACCUCGCUGAAGAUUAUGCAGCAGCUUGCAAAGGGGAAGUGCCUACUAAUUUCAGAUUUACAUGAACAAAAAAGGGCUAUGGAAAUUGGUUACAGUGUAUGGUGCAACAAAGUUAUCACCCUGCGUGUAAGCUGUUACUUCCUGUUUCAGUGUUCUUUGCCUAAGAUGAUGUUGGUUGUUUUCUUUAGCAUGGCAGUUAGUCAUUGCUAAAUGCUAACUCCUUAUGAAACUGAUAAUUUGAUUCCUGAACCCCAUAUGUUGAUGUUGUCAUUCCUUAGAGAAGAUCUCUGUAAAUGAGAAGUUUAUGGAUAUAUAUGUGAUUCCGACUUGCAUUGAAGAUCAUGGAAACUGGA